GACGAACGCUGGCGGCGUGCUUAACACAUGCAAGUCGAACGGAAAGGCCCUGCUUUUGUGGGGUGCUCGAGUGGCGAACGGGUGAGUAACACGUGAGUAACCUGCCCUUGACUUUGGGAUAACUUCAGGAAACUGGGGCUAAUACCGGAUAGGAGCUCCUGCUGCAUGGUGGGGGUUGGAAAGUUUCGGCGGUUGGGGAUGGACUCGCGGCUUAUCAGCUUGUGGGUGGGGUAGUGGCUUACCAAGGCUUUGACGGGUAGCCGGCCUGAGAGGGUGACCGGCCACAUUGGGACUGAGAUACGGCCCAGCCUCCUACGGGAGGCAGCAGUGGGGAAUAUUGCACAAUGGGCGGAAGCCUGAUGCAGCAACGCCGCGUGCGGGAUGACGGCCUUCGGGUUGUAAACCGCUUUCGCCUGUGACGAAGCGUGAGUGACGGUAAUGGGUAAAGAAGCACCGGCUAACUACGUG
Molecule: ribosomal RNA, 468 nt
Filed under: uncultured bacterium
Lineage: Bacteria
Description: partial 16S ribosomal RNA
Rfam family: Bacterial small subunit ribosomal RNA
Source: RNAcentral